UUCCUUGUAUCCACAUCGAUAUGGUUGCUUCUAAUUGAGGAAAGGGGUCGAGUUUCAUGUCGGAGCAACUGCUUCUGCUUUUGGUAUCGGAUUCGGCUUCUUGAACGAAGACUACAUCAACGAUGACAGUGGUUGUGGUGCCGGAUGUGUCCAGGCCGGAGAGGUUUGAUCUCGAUCAGCCGGUGAUGAAGAGAAGAAACGAAGGCGCCCGGUAGCAGUAACAUGAACCGGAGAGCUCACAGUUACUACGGACGUUGUUCUUGGUGCAGCCUGACAGAAUCAUAUGGAAAUGGAACUCAAACGAUGUUCUGUGACCCGACACAAAUGUGUGUUUUUGAGUGUAGCACUUGCAUUCUCGAUUGAAUUUGGAAUGGCAUGGGCUUCCUCAAUUUGAAUGCCAGUGGAACAGAGCUGCAAGAAAGAUGAUGUUUCUUUUAUACAGAGCAUGCACAACUCCUAUUCUCUGUAUAUAUUACCUCAUAAUUUGUUAUACAAAACAACUUGAGGUGAGUAGAUUUACCAUACUUUUUCAUCAGGAAUUAGAAAUGUUCGAAGGGAAGAUAAAGACGAAGUUUAUUCUCUUCAAAAAGAAUUCUACACAACAUUAAUUCUAUCGCCUUAUCAAUGUGCAAAACAAAAGAAUUGACUCUUUACAAAAAUUAACCUCAUUUUGAGAGGAACCAAGAAAGAGAGCAAAAAAAAAGAAAAGAGAGGAGAUAUGAAUCGAAUCAGUUAACAAAUAUACAAGGAAACCAAAAAAAGAAAAAGAAAAGGAGAAAGAAUUAAUUGGCCAGCAUUUCUCUCCUCCAUUCCUCUUUUCAAGUUGCAUGUCGAUCGAAGCUUUGCAUGCAGAUGAUGGUACUGGCAAGCUGAUGGAUCAGCGGCGUCUGUGUUUAGGAAGAGUAAGUGUGAUCGUGGGAGCAGGAAGGCUGAUUCCAGCGAGCGUGGGGG
This 951-nucleotide long non-coding RNA is filed under the name Musa acuminata (dwarf banana). RNAcentral's name for it is "long non-coding RNA (MACU_LNC006259)". The record is from RNAcentral. Lineage: Eukaryota; Viridiplantae; Streptophyta; Magnoliopsida; Zingiberales; Musaceae.